GAGUUUGAUCGUGGCUCAGAUUGAACGCUGGCGGCAUGCCUUACACAUGCAAGUCGAGCGGCAGCGCGGGGGCAACCCUGGCGGCGAGCGGCGAACGGGUGAGUAAUACAUCGGAACGUGUCCUGUCGUGGGGGAUAACCAGUCGAAAGAUUGGCUAAUACCGCAUGACCUCGUAAGAGAAAAGCGGGGGACCGUAAGGCCUCGCGCGACUGGAGCGGCCGAUGUCGGAUUAGCUAGUUGGCGGGGUAAAAGCCCACCAAGGCGACGAUCCGUAGCUGGUUUGAGAGAACGACCAGCCACACUGGGACUGAGACACGGCCCAGACUCCUACGGGAGGCAGCAGUGGGGAAUUUUGGACAAUGGGGGCAACCCUGAUCCAGCCAUGCCGCGUGUGUGAAGAAGGCCUUCGGUUG
RNAcentral lists this ribosomal RNA (413 nucleotides) under uncultured beta proteobacterium. RNAcentral describes it as "bacterial SSU rRNA". It matches the Rfam family "Bacterial small subunit ribosomal RNA", at positions 9 to 425 of the family's 1533-position model. Lineage: Bacteria; Pseudomonadati; Pseudomonadota; Betaproteobacteria. The record is from RNAcentral.